AGUGAACGCUGGCGGUAGGCCUAACACAUGCAAGUCGAACGGCAGCACAGUAAGAGCUUGCUCUUACGGGUGGCGAGUGGCGGACGGGUGAGGAAUACAUCGGAAUCUACUUUUUCGUGGGGGAUAACGUAGGGAAACUUACGCUAAUACCGCAUACGACCUACGGGUGAAAGCAGGGGAUCUUCGGACCUUGCGCGAUUGAAUGAGCCGAUGUCGGAUUAGCUAGUUGGCGGGGUAAAGGCCCACCAAGGCGACGAUCCGUAGCUGGUCUGAGAGGAUGAUCAGCGACACUGGAACUGAGACACGAUCCAGACUCCUACGGGAGGCAGCAGUGGGGAAUAUUGGACAAUGGGCGCAAGCCUGAUCCAGCCAUACCGCGUGGGUGAAGAAGGCCUUCGGGUUGUAAAGCCCUUUUGUUGGGAAAGAAAAGCAGCAGGUUAAUACCCCGCUGUUCUGACGGUACCCAAAGAAUAAGCACCGGCUAACUUCGUG
This 492-nucleotide ribosomal RNA is filed under the name uncultured bacterium. RNAcentral's name for it is "partial 16S ribosomal RNA". It matches the Rfam family "Bacterial small subunit ribosomal RNA", at positions 29 to 507 of the family's 1533-position model. The record is from RNAcentral.